GAUGAACGCUAGCGACAGGCCUAACACAUGCAAGUCGAGGGGCAGCGGGGGUAGCAAUACCUGCCGGCGACCGGCGCACGGGUGAGUAACGCGUAUGCAACCUACCUAUAACAGGGGGAUAGCUCGGCGAAAGUCGGAUUAAUACCGCAUAAUACUGGGAUUCCGCAUGGGGUUCUAAGUUAAACAUUUAUGGGUUAUAGAUGGGCAUGCGUUCGAUUAGUUAGUUGGUAAGGUAACGGCUUACCAAGACAUCGAUCGAUCGGGGUUCUGAGAGGAAGGUCCCCCACACUGGAACUGAGACACGGUCCAGACUCCUACGGGAGGCAGCAGUGAGGAAUAUUGGUCAAUGGGCGCGAGCCUGAACCAGCCAAGUCGCGUGCAGGAUGACGGCCUUAUGGGUUGUAAACUGCUUUUAUAUGGGAAUAACGGUCGGGACGUGUCCUGAUGUGCAUGUACCAUAAGAAUAAGCAUCGGCUAACUCCGUGCCAGCAGCCGCA
RNAcentral lists this ribosomal RNA (497 nucleotides) under uncultured bacterium. RNAcentral's name for it is "bacterial SSU rRNA". It matches the Rfam family "Bacterial small subunit ribosomal RNA", at positions 28 to 519 of the family's 1533-position model. The record is from RNAcentral.